UUUUGAAAUCGUGUUUGCAGUUGC
Molecule: non-coding RNA, 24 nt
Filed under: Arabidopsis thaliana (thale cress)
Lineage: Eukaryota; Viridiplantae; Streptophyta; Magnoliopsida; Brassicales; Brassicaceae
Source: RNAcentral